AUGGUUGUCUCACAACAAAGCUGAAUCUAGGUCGACAAGCUAGUCAUAUUUACAAAAACAAAAUAGAUAGAGUUCGUACCAGCUUUUCAGUUUGAGUCACUUCAUCAUAUAUCAUCAUUAUUGCCUUUCACUUGCACGAUCGAACGAUGUGAACAAUAAUAAGAGUGCUCGUGCAUUGGACUAAGCUGAAUCUACAGGCAAACACAAAGGAGAAGACAAAGUAAUAUGACUCUUUGAAAGGUAAACAGGUAAUCAUGCAAGAGCCACUAAACAUUGUAACCAAUAUCUUCAACCUUGACCCAAAGAAAAAGAAAACUAUUUACGCGGGAAAGCUCCCAACAAGCAAAAGAAGAAAGGAAAAUAUUUUUAGGUUUUCUCAAAAGGACACAAAACAAGAAAACAAGAAAACAAAAAUAAACUAGCAUGGAUAAUUGUGACGGCCCGAGACCGACGUUCCAGAAGAUUCCCCCUUCUUUCCGUUUUCGUCAUGUGUCUAUUUUCUUUUGUCGCAUCAUCUGCAUUGCAUCGGCACCCCGUUGCCGCCAGUUUUCAAAACUUGCAUCCGUUGUUAGUUGUCGGUUCUCAUCGUUGUCCGUUCUGAGCCCGAUCACACACGCACGCGCCCGCGGUAUCGUCUAAAUCUUGUUUUCAAAAGUGUGUUUAAAACAUUCUCUGAUUGGGUUGGAACUUGGCGUGCGGUCGUAAUUAGUUGUAGCUAGGCCGCUUGUCAAGUUUCGUCGCAAUCGGAGUUCGUCUGGUACCCGAACGGUCGACCGUAGCGGCACCGUAUUCGGUCUAUCGUCGGACAUUUUCCAGUAUUUUAAACCCCGAUGCCGGGCUGCCCGUUUUCCCUCUCAUCCCCACCUAGCCUCUCUGCACAGUGCACCGAACCGCCGCGCAACCCAGUCCGAAAACCUCCCGGUACCCAAAACACACGGUCGUAACCGUUGGGUCCGGAUCAACCCUGUUUUACCGCAAACCUCCUUCGGUUUGUCAAUUGAUUUCCCUAACCUAUUUAUAUUAACCGUCCGAUCUAGAAUCGGAGGGCUCUAAUUAGACAUCAUUUAGACCCGUUUGCUAUUUAUAUGCAAACUAGCCCAGCCUAGUCUAACCCUAGACCAAUCCCUAGAAAUCCUCUCCCUGUCCAAUAGCCGCCGCCACCCAUUGGAAAAAAACUUCCCCUCGGGAUCCCCAGAUUUAGUCUGCAGCCAACCCCGCAAGCAGCUCGAUCCAGAGUCCGUGCGCCUCGACCUUGUCUUCCAUGCGAGUCGAGCCGCCGGACGCAUCCGUCGCCUGCAGCUCCCCAUGUCUGUCGCCCGCAUGCCGCACGAGGAGGCCGUCCCCAACCAGUCAAUGGAGCGCACGAGCGGGCAUGGCCUCGUCCCUGAGCUCCCUCCCCCGUACCUCCUAGGGGGGGGGCGCCAUGAGCCGCCGGCGAGCUUCACCGACGGGCAGGCACCCAGGUCGCCCCUGCUCCUUCUCCCUUCCUUAUUCCCUCUCCCACCUCGUCUCUCUCUCUUUGUCCACAGGAGCAUCUACGCCUCUGUCAAGGGAAGCUGUGCCAUGGAGCUUGCAGCUUGUGAACCGGCGUCCCGUCCACUGAAUCGAGCUCCUGAUGCCGGGAAUGGAUUCCCAUGCUCAGAUCCGCCCUUUCCCCCUCGUCCUGGAUGCUCGCCGGAGUCCCAUCAAGACUCGCCAGGUUCAGCCACCGAAGCCGCAGGUGAGGACUCACCAGAUCCUCCAUGUACGCUUCUGCCUGGCCGUGUGUGUUCGUGUAGAAGGAGUCCCGCCGCCUCUUUAGUAUAUGUUGUUCUCCCCUGCAGUCAUGUCACGUGCACAUGCAUAGCUGAGUUGGCCAGCGCUGCUCUAAUCGACCAGGAGAUCGUGGGUUCAAGUCCCCGCGGAUUCAUUUCUAUUUUUCACGAAUUUUACCCUUUCCAUAGGAUUAGUUUCUGCCUUGGUUCACUUAAUAUCGAGGCCUUGUUAGUUCACACAACAGGAGCCAGACCAACUGGUUAGUGCCCUGGAUUCAACGCAGGGGUCUGGGAUUUGAAUCCCAGCUUUACCCCAUAUUUGUUUCCCCUUUGCUGCACUACGAUUUUGCUAAUCUUCAAAAAUAUCACUUAUUUUCAAAUGCACGUAGUUUCUAAUCCGUGCAUCGGAUUGCGAUGAGUUAUAUAUGCUACUUGGCUAGAAUUUUGCGUAGAAUAUUUUUUUUCCAACUCUCAUGCAUAAUUAGAAAUGUUUAGUGUGAUGUUUGCAUCGGAUUGCGUGUCGACUUGUUGAAAACGGUUUAGGUCGUAAUUAUUUAACCGUAGCUCAUUUGGAGAUGUGCCAUAUAUGUAAAUGGACCAGAAUGACGAGUAGAAUCACGUGAACCACUUUGUUUUGCUGUUUAACAAGUAUAAAAUGUGAUUAGGACAGAUCUGGACAGAAUUAUAAUUUAACACGUGGGGUCAUUUCGGAGAUGCUAUAUGUCGUUUCCGGCCUCAUUUAAAAUGCCUAGAUAGGUAGUUUAAUUUGUGUUUCACCCCCUUUCCAUGUCUAACAACAUUUAAUAUUUUCGUAUAAAUAAAUGGGAGUGAAUUAAAUAAUUAAAUGUGGAGUUUCGUCAAUAUGCAACUUGUUGCAUAUUGAGCUCCACUUAAUGUGUAGUGAUUGCGUCAUGUGAAUUGCCAUGCCAUCCCUUGCAUCAUUGAAUUGAUCAUGCAUCAUAGUAGGUUGUGCAUCAUGUUGUGCAUCGUGUGGUGAAUAUCUGUGUUGAUGUUUGUUUCCGGUUUGCUCCGUCUCGAUAGAGUUCCGCAAGCGUGUCGGAAUGUGAGGCGACGUUGGUUCACCGACUUCACGGAGUUGUUCUUCUUCCAGGCGGGAUCUCAGGCAAGAUGACCAUUUCCCAAGAUACCAUUACUAUCAUUGCCAUGCUAGUUUUAUCGCUUCUAUCGAUUAUGUCUCGUUGCCUACCACAUGUUAAAUAUCAGCCUCUCAACAAUGCCAUGAUUACCUUCAACCUGUUCGACCUAGCAAACCACUGAUUGUCUAUGUUACCGCUUGCUUAACCAUGUUGUUAGCGUUGCUAGUUGCGGGUGCAGUUGCUUCCAUGUGAUAACAUGGGUCCCUUGUCAUAUCACCAUAUUAAUGCUAUUUAAUUUAAUGCACCUAUAUACUUGGUAAAAGGUGGAAGGCUCGGCCUUUCUAGCCUGGUGUUCUGUUCCACCUAUGCCCCCUUAGUUUCGGCUACUGGUGUUAUGUUCCAUAAAUGAGCGCUCCUAACACGAUCGGGGUUGUUAUGGGGACCCCCUUGAUAAUUCGUUUUAGAUUAAAGCUGGUCUGGCAAGGCCCAACUUUGGUACUACAUUUUCCCAACAUAAUAACUUUGUUAAUACUGAAAGCAUAGGGCGUCAUGAACCCGAGGAGUAAUUUCACAUAAUACAGGGAGGGCCAGUGCUGAUGGUGCUGGUCCAAAACAGAGCACUGUGCGGGGCCAUCGCGAGGAAAAUCGAGGUUUGGCACUCGUACACUUCGCUUAUCCGUCGUGUCCUGAGAACGAGAUACGCCGCUCCUAUCGGGAUCGUCGACACACCGGGCGGCCUUGCUGGAUUAGGUUUACCUUUGACGAGAUAUCUUGUGCAUCGGGAUUCCGGUGAUGCUUUGGGUAACCUCAGAGUUGAGGUUUUCCACUAGGGAAUCCGACGAGAUCGCGAGCUUCGUGAUUGAGGAUUUCUAUGCGGCUUGUGGUAAUUUGUGAUGGACUAGUUGGAGCACCCCUGCAUGGUUAAAUCUUUCAGAAAGCCGUUCCCGCGGUUAUGUGGCAAGGUGGAAACUUUGCUUAACACUGGUUCUAGAUAACUUGAAGUUAACUUAACUAAAAUAUGCCAACUGUGUGUGUAACCGUGACUGCCUCUUUCGUGAGUUCCUUCUCCGAUCGAGGACACGGUGGGGUUAUGUCUGACGUAGGUAGGUGUUCAGGAUCAUUUAUUUGAUCAUCAGUACUUCACGUCCGUUAUGCAUAGAUCUUCCCUCUCUUAUAUCUUGUACUCGUAAGUUUAGCCACCAAAUAUAUGCUUAGUCGGUGUUGCAACCUCACCACUUAACCAUACCUCACCCAUUAAGCUUUGCUAGUCUUGAUACCUUUGGAAAUGAGAUUGCUGAGUCCCCUGUGGCUCACAGAUUACUACAACACCAGUUGCAGGUACAGGUAAAGGUUACUUGAUGCGAGCGCGUUGAUUGUUUAUUUGGAGUUGCUUCUUCUUCUUCUUCAUCAUCGAUCUAGGAUGGGUUCCAGGCCGACAGCCUGGGAUAGCAAGGAUGGACGUCGUUCUUAGUUUUCUCGUUUGUUUUCCGUCCGUAGUCGGACCCUGCUCUUACUCUUGAUGAUUAUGUAAUGUACUGAUGUGACUCUGAUGUAGCUUGUGGCGAGUGUAAGCCAAUUCUAUAUAUAUCUCUUCUUUUCAGUACAUGUACUUGUAACGAUAUCCAUUCUUGUGACACGACGAGAUGCGCUUCUAUCCCUGACGAGGCCUUCGUGCCAAAUUGAGGAUAGGGUCGCAUCUUGGGCGUGACAAUAAUACAGUGGCAAAGUGUGCACACCGGCUAACAAAGUGAAAGCAUAAGCAUGAAUGUAAAGUCGGUGAGAACACGUACUCCCCCAAGCUUAGGCUUUUGGCCUAGCUUGGUCUACUCCCA
RNAcentral lists this long non-coding RNA (4683 nucleotides) under Hordeum vulgare. RNAcentral describes it as "long non-coding RNA (HVUL_LNC006657)". Lineage: Eukaryota; Viridiplantae; Streptophyta; Magnoliopsida; Poales; Poaceae. The record is from RNAcentral.